This 1220-nucleotide long non-coding RNA is filed under the name Equus caballus (horse). RNAcentral describes it as "lncRNA (ENSECAG00000047586.1)". Lineage: Eukaryota; Metazoa; Chordata; Mammalia; Perissodactyla; Equidae. The record is from RNAcentral.
CUGCGGUGUCAACGUGACUCUGCUCUCCCUGCGCCCUAAUUGGGCGUCGCCUGUGCAGGCCCUCCGCUGUGUGUGGAGGGCUGUGGCCUUGUAUCUCUAGGGAGGGAACAUCUUUUGUCUCUCGGCAAGAAGCUUUCCUCCGGGAAAGAUAAAGUAAUCGAUAGGGUCUUUUAAAUAGCUCCGCGUUUCCUGUCGGGAGAGGAGUAUCAGCGCGCACACCAAAUCUGCUCUGGAUGGAUCCUGUGUACGGUGUGCCAUGUUGAAACUAGAGAAUGAGACCUGGAUACCACCGUGCCAUCUUUGAACCAAUGGCAGAGUCUCGCCCAUCUCUUGGCCUCUUGAAUUACUCUGGUGACCUAGUUAUUCAGUCCUGGGUGGACCUGCAGGUGGCCCUCAAGGAGGGUUUCCUCUGAGUGAACACUUUUCUAGAAGGAGACCAGGGUGCUUCUUUCUUUUCUUCUAGCAAGAUGUGUGACGUGAGAGAUGGGAAAGUUGGGGCAUUUAGAAUUGAAGUGGUGAGAACAGCCCAGGGUGGGAUCAGGAGUGCCUUGCCCUCCACCUAGUGUGACUGCCAUCUUCUAGAAGCUCCAGGUCCUUUUCUUAAUGGGAAGCUGCACUGCUGUUCCUUAGAUGUGACAAGAGGGGAAGUGGGGCCAGGUGGCACUGGGAGCAGUUCUUAGCCGAUUCCUGGAUUCCGAGCUCUGGAGGACGCUACUUGGGGCACCUGAUGAUAAUGUAUAAAGGAGAUACUCAGACACGGUGGGUUUUGCUUCCCAGUUGGGAGCAGCCAUGAGCCAAUGGCAGAGUGCAGGCUGGGCGCAUCAGGACCCAGCCCACCAUAGCAGCUGCCCCGAGGCAGGCAGUGGAGACUCCAGAGGACAAAAGCCAUUCCCACUCUGGCCUUGUGGAGCAUGAAGAGUCCAUAAGUAGAUGACAUAGCCUAGACGGCUGCCUUCCUUGAAAUUUCUGUCCUGGGCUCCAGGUGAAGAUGGAAUGGAGGAGGGGGUAUCCCUGGCUACUCCCAGGGCAGAAGGAAAUUUGGAGCAGCUUAGGUGCCAGAUCUGCAAGUGAUGGAGCCUCCAGAAGAUUUCCAGCACCCAACUGGUCCAGUUUUCAGAGCUUAGGCCCCAGACUUCAUAGAGCAGAGACAAGCCAUCCUUGCUGUGUCCUGACCCACCACGUCAGUGAACAUAAUAAAACGGUAGUUUUCAUACCACUGA